AGUGAACGCUGGCGGUAGGCCUAACACAUGCAAGUCGAACGGCAGCAUAGUAAGAGCUUGCUCUUACGGGUGGCGAGUGGCGGACGGGUGAGGAAGACAUCGGAAUCUACUUUUUCGUGGGGGAUAACGUAGGGAAACUUACGCUAAUACCGCAUACGACCUACGGGUGAAAGCAGGGGAUCUUCGGACCUUGCGCGAUUGAAUGAGCCGAUGUCGGAUUAGCUAGUUGGCGGGGUAAAGGCCCACCAAGGCGACGAUCCGUAGCUGGUCUGAGAGGAUGAUCAGCCACACUGGAACUGAGACACGGUCCAGACUCCUACGGGAGGCAGCAGUGGGGAAUAUUGGACAAUGGGCGCAAGCCUGAUCCAGCCAUACCGCGUGGGUGAAGAAGGCCUUCGGGUUGUAAAGCCCUUUUGUUGGGAAAGAAAAGCAGCAGGUUAAUACCCCGCUGUUCUGACGGUACCCAAAGAGUAAGCACCGGCUAACUUCGUG
RNAcentral lists this ribosomal RNA (492 nucleotides) under uncultured bacterium. Its description in RNAcentral is "partial 16S ribosomal RNA". It matches the Rfam family "Bacterial small subunit ribosomal RNA", at positions 29 to 507 of the family's 1533-position model. The record is from RNAcentral.